This 590-nucleotide ribosomal RNA is filed under the name uncultured bacterium. Its description in RNAcentral is "bacterial SSU rRNA". It matches the Rfam family "Bacterial small subunit ribosomal RNA", at positions 331 to 929 of the family's 1533-position model. The record is from RNAcentral.
CCAGACUCCUACGGGAGGCAGCAGUGGGGAAUAUUGCACAAUGGGCGCAAGCCUGAUGCAGCGACGCCGCGUGGGGGAUGACGGCCUUCGGGUUGUAAACUCCUUUCGCUAGGGACGAAGCUUUUUGUGACGGUACCUAGAUAAGAAGCACCGGCUAACUACGUGCCAGCAGCCGCGGUAAUACGUAGGGUGCGAGCGUUGUCCGGAAUUACUGGGCGUAAAGGGCUCGUAGGUGGUUUGUCGCGUCGUCUGUGAAAUUCCGGGGCUUAACUCCGGGCGUGCAGGCGAUACGGGCAUAACUUGAGUACUGUAGGGGUAACUGGAAUUCCUGGUGUAGCGGUGAAAUGCGCAGAUAUCAGGAGGAACACCGAUGGCGAAGGCAGGUCACUGGGCAGUUACUGACGCUGAGGAGCGAAAGCAUGGGUAGCGAACAGGAUUAGAUACCCUGGUAGUCCAUGCCGUAAACGGUGGGCGCUAGGUGUGAGGGUCUUUUCACGACUUUCGUGCCGUAGCUAACGCAUUAAGCGCCCCGCCUGGGGAGUACGGCCGCAAGGCUAAAACUCAAAGGAAUUGACGGGGGCCCGCACAAG